AAUCCUGGCUCAGGAUGAACGCUAGCUACAGGCUUAACACAUGCAAGUCGAGGGGCAGCAUUCUUCUAGCAAUAGAAGAGAUGGCGACCGGCGCACGGGUGAGUAACACGUAUCCAACCUACCGAUAACUCCGGAAUAGCCUUUCGAAAGAAAGAUUAAUACCGGAUAGUAUACGAAUAUCGCAUGAUAUUUUUAUUAAAGAAUUUCGGUUAUCGAUGGGGAUGCGUUCCAUUAGUUUGUUGGCGGGGUAACGG
RNAcentral lists this ribosomal RNA (254 nucleotides) under uncultured bacterium. Its description in RNAcentral is "partial 16S ribosomal RNA". It matches the Rfam family "Bacterial small subunit ribosomal RNA", at positions 15 to 263 of the family's 1533-position model. The record is from RNAcentral.